AAUCCUUUGUUGGAUUAUUAAACUGUGCCAUAACAGGGUGAACUUUCGGCUCGAAUUGUUAUUUUCUUAGAUGAGAUAAAAAUCUGGGAGACUGAGGAGGAAGCAAAAGUCAGAAAAGUCAGACCAAAUGUACACUUCUAGGGAGUUAAAACCCAGACAAGGAAUUUUCUCGGUUGCUGCUUGUAAAUUUGGAAAAGAGAGAGAGAGAGAGAGAGAGAAAUUUAACCAGUUUAUAGUGACACUGCAGAUGGAGUUGAUUAUCACUCAUUACCUGAUGGGCAGAUAAUGGAUUCUGACAAUUUGCAGGGCUGUAGAGAAAAACUGAUAAGAAAAAGGAAAUAAAGCAGGAGAGAGUGGCAUACAAAGACGAAUACUGUACACUUGUUGAGCUGGGACUGACUAAAUCAGAGAAGCCUGAUCUGGCUUUUCCAUUAUACAACGUUAUAUUUCCUGGUACACAUCAUUAACUUGGGAAAUGUUUAUUUUCUGGUUAAAACACAAAAUAGCAGGGCAACUGAAAGGGAGAACGCUGUGGGUAAAAGGGCACGAUCCAUACCCAGCAGAUGAGAAAGACGCGUCCUUUUAAAGUCUGGAUCGCUCCCUCCCCUUCCUGGCAGCGCCCUGUUGGGGCAACGAGAGGGAAGGGAAGGGAAGGGGGGCGAGGUGUGCCUCGGGCGACUCCCUCGAUGCUGCCAAGGCUCCACCCUGCUCGGCCCGGGUGGCUCCCGCAGGCAUCGCGGUCGCCUCUCUUUCGAGGCGCGAGGGAUCCAGGCGUCCUGCGGAGCUUCCCCUGCUCCCGCUCCCGCUCCCGCCCGCCCGCCUCCCGGCUUCGCGAAGAAGCCCUGCGAUGGGGAGGCAGGAAGGGGCUCCGAGCUCCGUUCGGGGUCCUCCUGGAUGGAAAGGUUCCCGGCAGGCAGCAUUCCUGACAGUUGCCAUCCUGACUUCUCCGACCCUGAUGGCUCCACAAAACCAGCACUCCUCCAUCACUAGAAUUUUGGUCACGGCGCAGCCAUCAAAUCCCAUACAAGAAGGAGGGAACGUCACUUUAAUCCCAGGAAUGAGCUCAACACAUUUUUCAAGAUGCAUCUGGUACCGAGAAAGGGCCGGGAAUGCAAAGGAAAUGAUCAUAGCCCAUGAAAAAGGCCCAUUUGCAUUGUUUUUAACUGGAGAUGCAUUCACAGGGAGGGUGACCAUGGUCGCAGGCUGCUCCAUUUACAUCGAAUCUUUAGCACAAGCGGAUACUGGCAUGUAUACAAUCGACCUGGACGAAGCUGGGGAGUUUUUGGCAACAGGCCAUGUGAAAAUAGAGGUGGUAGGUCAUGCUUCUUCUGACUGGAGCGCUCCCCCCAGGCAAAACGAAGACAUCGUGACAAUUGUGGUUGGUGCCUUCUGUGCGGUAAUAGUAGUUGGCAUUGGAAUCGUGCUUUUCUUCUGGAUCUGUUUUAGACGUCUGAAGAACAGGAGACCUACCGGUGUGGUCAUCACACCAUCCGCGCCUCCACCUCGACCUCCAACUCCACCUCCAUCUUAUGAAAAUAUUUUCCCUUUGGGACAGGUCAGUCCUACAUCUCCCCCUGCAAACACAGGUGAGAUCGGUGGAAUAAUGCAUCCCUCUCUCCCAAAGGAUAACUGACCCAGCAGAAGCCAAGGAAAAGACUGAAGUCAAAUUAUAUGUUACAGCUAACAUGUCCUCAGAAGGCAAGUUGUCUCACAUGCAGAAGUCUGAUUGUCACAGUAGAGGAUUUCCAAUGCAACACUAUCAUUUGCCUAAUAUCUAUUAUUUGGCUGGCAUUGCUCGUCCAGAAUUACAUAAAGAGGUGCUGGAAAAUAAUGAAUAAAAUAAGGUAAUACAGCUCCGAAACCA
This is a long non-coding RNA of Pogona vitticeps (central bearded dragon), 1864 nucleotides long. Ensembl lists it as uncharacterized. NCBI's taxonomy places the organism in Eukaryota, Metazoa, Chordata, Lepidosauria, Squamata, Agamidae. The record is from Ensembl.